GACGAACGCUGGCGGCGUGCCUAAUACAUGCAAGUAGGACGCAGUUGCGAACGGGUGAGUAACGCGUAGGUAACUACCUAUUAGAGGGGGAUAACUAUUGGAAACGAUAGCUAAUACCGCAUACUAGUAGAUGGACCUGCGUUGUAUUAGCUAGUAGGUCGGGUAAUGGCCUACCUAGGCAACGAUACAUAACCGACCUGGAAAGGGGAUCAGACAAACGGGGACUGGGAAACGGCCCAGACUCCUACGGGGGGAAGCAGUUGGGAAUCUUCGGGAAUGGGGGGAACCCUGACCGGGCAACGACGCGUGAGUGAAGAAGGUUUUCGGAUCGUAAAGCUCUGUUGUUAAGGAAGCGGUACUUAACCAGAAAGGGACGGCUAACUACGUGCCAGCAGCCGCGGUAAUUG
RNAcentral lists this ribosomal RNA (407 nucleotides) under uncultured bacterium. Its description in RNAcentral is "partial 16S ribosomal RNA". It matches the Rfam family "Bacterial small subunit ribosomal RNA", at positions 28 to 527 of the family's 1533-position model. The record is from RNAcentral.